GAUGAACGCUGGCGGCGUGCUUAACACAUGCAAGUCGAACGGAAAGGCCCUUCGCUGGACUCGAGUGGGGAAGGGGCGAGUAAGAAGUUGGCGAUCGGCCCGGCACUUUAGGAGAAGCCGGGGACAAUGGGUCUAAUGCCGAAUAAGCACAUCGGCUUCAUGGCCGGAGGUGGGAAGCGUUUGCGGUGGGGGAUGGGCCCGCGGCGUAUCAGCUUGCUGGUGGGGUAAUGGUCGGCCAAGGCGACGACGGGUAGCCGGCCGGAGAGGGUGACCGGCCACCAUGGGACUGCGGUACGGCCCAGACGCCUACGGGAGGCAGCAGUGGGGAAUAUUGCACAACGGGCGCAAGCCUGAUGCAGCGGCGCCGCGUGAGGGAUGACGGCCUUCGGGUGGUAAACCACUUUCUGCACAGACGAAGAGGAAGUGACGGUAUCUGCAGAAGAAGCACCGGCUAACUACGUG
Molecule: ribosomal RNA, 462 nt
Filed under: uncultured bacterium
Lineage: Bacteria
Description: partial 16S ribosomal RNA
Rfam family: Bacterial small subunit ribosomal RNA
Source: RNAcentral